GGCAGCCUCAGUUCAAGGAGCAGUCUCCAUGUAACACGGGCAUAGGCAAGAGAAAAGAGAAAAGUUUCUUCGUUUGUCUUUUUCCAUUUCCUUUUGUCUUUUUUUUUUUUUGAUACCAGAGAUUGAACUCGGGGCAUUCAAUCACUGAGCCCCCCCCCCCCCCCCGUCUUCUUUUCUAUUUCAUUUAGAGACAGGGUCUCACAGAAUUGCUUAGUGCCUCGCCCUUGCUGAGGCUGGCUUUGAACUCGCGAUCCUCCUGCCCCUGCCUCCCAAGCCACUGGGGUUAUAGGUGAGUGUCUGGCUCCCUUUUCCUUUCUUUCUUUUUUUAACCAAGUGGUUUAAUCAAAUGUGUUUCGUUUUGUUUUGUUUUUUAAUUUUGAGGUAGCUGUAGACUCCCAGAAAGUUUGUAAAAAUGGGGUUGAGAUUUCCCACACAGCAC
RNAcentral lists this long non-coding RNA (439 nucleotides) under Marmota monax (woodchuck). Lineage: Eukaryota; Metazoa; Chordata; Mammalia; Rodentia; Sciuridae. The record is from RNAcentral.